Molecule: ribosomal RNA, 312 nt
Filed under: uncultured Psychromonas sp.
Lineage: Bacteria; Pseudomonadati; Pseudomonadota; Gammaproteobacteria; Alteromonadales; Psychromonadaceae
Description: bacterial SSU rRNA
Rfam family: Bacterial small subunit ribosomal RNA
Source: RNAcentral
AUUGAACGCUGGCGGCAGGCUUAACACAUGCAAGUCGAACGGUAACAGAGAAUAGCUUGCUAUUUUGCUGACGAGUGGCGGACGGGUGAGUAAUGCUUGGGAAUUUGCCGAAAGGUGGGGGACAACAGUUGGAAACGACUGCUAAUACCGCAUAAUGUCUACGGACCAAAGGUGGCCUCUAUUUAUAUGCUAUCGCCUUUCGAUGAGCCCAAGUGGGAUUAGCUAGUUGGUAAGGUAAUGGCUUACCAAGGCGACGAUCCCUAGCUGGUCUUAGAGGAUGACCAGCCACACUGGAACUGAGACACGGUCCAG